GGCGGUCGCUCGGCUAUGACGUGCCCUGCUCCAGCAUAUCCGGCCCGGCCAUCCCGGCGGGUCCCGCCCGCUGUCUCGGCCUUCCCGGCGCUUCCCAUGGCCCUGCCCGCCGUCCACAGGUGCCUCCAACUCAGUGAUGAAAAUGAACAGUUAGUCAAGAAGGUGAAAAGACUACACAUAAAAAAUAAGGAGCUAGAAAAGAAUCUGGGUCAGAUCCAAGAAAAGUUGCAUCUGCAGCAGUUAAUGCAUGACUGUGGCACAAGCAGAGAUGUUCAGGUUCAAACAGAAACCCAUUUAUGGCAUAAGGGUGGAGACAGCAAGGAUUUUGUUCUAGAGUGUGACAGUGUCAGACUGCUUCAUAUGUAUAAUGAGCUACAGAAACGUUACGUUAGAGAAAGCAAAAAAAACAAGGAGCAAAGUGAAGCAAUUAAAAAUCUCACUAUUAAAAUUCAUGAGCUAGAGCAUAAUCUUCAAGAGCAGAGGCAAAGAAUUGAACAACUGGAAUGUAAAAAGGUUUCUUGGAAAACUAAUGCUGUUUCUGAAAAAAGAAGUCGAACCUCAGAGGGAGGAAUAACUUCUCACAGGGACAUUUCUGAAGAGAAGGAAUCCUGUUGCAGUAAAUAUUUAGAGCUAUUGUUGAAGGAGAUUAAAAAGCUGAAGAAAGAAAAUGGAAAGUUGUCUGCAGAAAAGAGAGCACUAAAAAAUGAAUUAGCUGGAUUAGACAAGGAAUUUUUUGAAGAGGUAGAAGAUCUAAAGCAUGCUGUACAGGAAUGUCUGAAACUGAACUAUGAGUACGAAAAAUGCUUGAAACAAAUAAGUGUAAUGUAUGGGCUUCCUUUUACAGCACAUUUGUAAAUACUGGUUAAUUUAAUGGCAAGUAGAGUUUCCACUUUUUUUUUAUGCUUACUGCAGCAUUUAAACCUACCAUGGCUUAAGUGGUACCUCAUUUUGAUAAUGUUAUGGAUUCACUAAUAUGAUCCUAACAAGCUUCUCUGAAAUGUUUUUGUAUUUUGUGCCUUUGAUUUUUUGUUUAUAUGGUUUUUAAAUAAACUGUGGUCUGUAUAACUUCA
This 1070-nucleotide long non-coding RNA is filed under the name Manacus vitellinus (golden-collared manakin). RNAcentral describes it as "lncRNA (ENSMVIG00005008319.1)". Lineage: Eukaryota; Metazoa; Chordata; Aves; Passeriformes; Pipridae. The record is from RNAcentral.